AAUUUUUCAACGAUUUAUAAAAUGAAAAUAUUGUACCUUUUUGAGAAUGCAGCACGGACAAAUACUUAAAAUAUAUAGCUCCACAUGUCAGACUGUGGUUUAAUAUGAACUAAGCUCUGCUUUAUUGAUACACUUGAGUUAUCCAAAUUUAUUACAAAAGGGUAAACUGAAGCAACAUUAACCUGAUUUCAUUGAGAUCCAUUCAACUGUAACAGAAUAUACAUCUUUUAUGAAAUCAAGGAUCUUUACAAAGCCAGCCACGAUAAAUACACUCAUAUAAGACCAUGAAACAAUGAAAGUACAACAUGUGGCAAGA
Molecule: unclassified non-coding RNA, 316 nt
Filed under: Hevea brasiliensis (rubber tree)
Lineage: Eukaryota; Viridiplantae; Streptophyta; Magnoliopsida; Malpighiales; Euphorbiaceae
Source: RNAcentral